Molecule: ribosomal RNA, 253 nt
Filed under: uncultured bacterium
Lineage: Bacteria
Description: partial 16S ribosomal RNA
Rfam family: Bacterial small subunit ribosomal RNA
Source: RNAcentral
UACAGAGGGGGCAAGCGUUGUUCGGAAUUACUGGGCGUAAAGGGCGCGUAGGCGGCCUUCUAAGUCGAACGUGAAAUCCCCGGGCUCAACCCGGGAACUGCGUCCGAUACUGGAAGGCUUGAAUCCGGGAGAGGGAUGCGGAAUUCCAGGUGUAGCGGUGAAAUGCGCAGAUAUCAGGAGGAACACCAAUGGCGAAGGCAGCUCGCUGGGACGGUACUGACGCUGAGGCGCGAAAGCGUGGGGAGCAAACAGG